Xiphophorus maculatus (southern platyfish) is the source of this 700-nucleotide non-coding RNA. NCBI's taxonomy places the organism in Eukaryota, Metazoa, Chordata, Actinopteri, Cyprinodontiformes, Poeciliidae. The record is from the annotation of a RefSeq genome assembly.
UAAUAUUUACUCUUUAAGAAUUGACAGAAUGUCCUUCACCUCUAAAGAUGCGUCUUUUUUUUUUAAAUCACUGGUGUGAUAUUUUGUGCUAAGACGUGGAGCUUCAGUGACUCCACCCACCUGGAUUACUUCAUAUGCAGCCUUAGCAACAAAACCAAAGACAAUCUGACUGGAGCAAAAUGAUCCUCUUCAUCCUCUGCUGCGUAAGCCUACAUAUCACACUUGUUUCUGGUUCUUCUCCAAGUGACCAAAUCGUCCAGAUUCCAGCUGACAUGUUCAAAAGCCCUGGAGAAACGGCCAAGAUCAGCUGCAGUCACAGUAUCCCAGACUACGAUCGCGUCCUCUGGUACAAACAGUCGAAGCUUCAUGAGAUGAAGCUCCUGGGAUACAUGCUGGGAGACAACGGAUAUCCAGAGAAGGAGCUCAACGUGAACAUAGACGGGAGCGCGAACAGAGACAAAAACAGCACUUUAACCGUCACAGAGCUCAGCCCAGACAGCAGUGCAGUUUAUUACUGCGCUGCUCGCUACCACAGUGCUGCAUAUCACUGCUGCUCAGCGCAAAAACCUCCUCACAGGUGCAGCUGUGUUAGCUCUGGGGUCCUGAUAGUUUUAGGCUUUUCAUUAUAGUUUACGUUUAUUUUUGUUGGGACUCUUUGUUCGUCUGAUUCAGUUAGUUUUAGAGUGUGUUAAAAUGUGUU